ACCCUUGGAACCUUGGGAAAUGAACACCUGUGGUACGGAGUUUCCUUGUGGAUUGUUCCUGUUCUUUGGCUUAUUGGAGAAGCUACUAUUUGUUUUCAAAUUAUUUUGUACAAUAUGACUUCAGUGAUUGCUGCUGCAGGAGUCUCGGGUCACAGACACGCUCAACCACCAACCUCUCUCUUUGAGUUAACCUGGCCAGCAAUGGAGCGUCCACUUCAGCACCACUUAUUAUCCAAAGUGAGGAUUUUAAAAGUGUUGGAGCUGGACAAACACACGCCUGCUCUGCAGCAUGAACGAUUUCUCCAGAAGUACUUCUCCCCAUGGCUCACUGUCAUGGAACCACAAUGGCCACCCUGCACAGAGGGGCUUGAAGGAAAUAGCUCCUAAGAUGGAGACAAAAAAGCGUUGAGUACCAUAUAUGAGGUU
This 426-nucleotide long non-coding RNA is filed under the name Equus caballus (horse). RNAcentral describes it as "lncRNA (ENSECAG00000059593.1)". Lineage: Eukaryota; Metazoa; Chordata; Mammalia; Perissodactyla; Equidae. The record is from RNAcentral.